GAAACCGGGGCUAAUACCGGAUGCUUGUUUGAACCGCAUGGUUCAAACAUAAAAGGUGGCUUCGGCUACCACUUACAGAUGGACCCGCGGCGCAUUAGCUAGUUGGUGAGGUAAUGGCUCACCAAGGCGACGAUGCGUAGCCGACCUGAGAGGGUGAUCGGCCACACUGGGACUGAGACACGGCCCAGACUCCUACGGGAGGCAGCAGUAGGGAAUCUUCCGCAAUGGACGAAAGUCUGACGGAGCAACGCCGCGUGAGUGAUGAAGGUUUUCGGAUCGUAAAGCUCUGUUGUUAGGGAAGAACAAGUACCGUUCGAAUAGGGCGGUACCUUGACGGUACCUAACCAGAAAGCCACGGCUAACUACGUGCCAGCAGCCGCGGUAAUACGUAGGUGGCAAGCGUUGUCCGGAAUUAUUGGGCGUAAAGGGCUCGCAGGCGGUUUCUUAAGUCUGAUGUGAAAGCCCCCGGCUCAACCGGGGAGGGUCAUUGGAAACUGGGGAACUUGAGUGCAGAAGAGGAGAGUGGAAUUCCACGUGUAGCGGUGAAAUGCGUAGAGAUGUGGAGGAACACCAGUGGCGAAGGCGACUCUCUGGUCUGUAACUGACGCUGAGGAGCGAAAGCGUGGGGAGCGAACAGGAUUAGAUACCCCUGGUAGUCCACGCCCGUUAAACGAUGAGUGCUAAGUG
Molecule: ribosomal RNA, 687 nt
Filed under: Bacillus sp. (in: firmicutes)
Lineage: Bacteria; Bacillati; Bacillota; Bacilli; Caryophanales; Bacillaceae
Description: bacterial SSU rRNA
Rfam family: Bacterial small subunit ribosomal RNA
Source: RNAcentral